CUGUUUCUACACCGGUAGCAUCAACAUCGUGCAAGUUUGGUUCGCAUUUCAGCUCUGAUUUGUCUUGGCGAUGCAGGAACCCUAUCUUUUCCACUUGCAUGGACAGAUUGUUGUUUUUUACUGGUGAUUUAGGUGUUAAAACACCCAAAUCAAAAGAUAGAAUAUCGGCUACUUUUUGUCUUUUGGGAGUACUAGCUUUUUUCACCAUUUUUGACUAUUGAUACGAUUUUAGUGAUUGAAACUGUGUUUUUGUGAGAAAACUUUGCAGAGGGUUCGGAAAUGGCGGAUGAACUUGAAGCAGUGAGAGAGAGAAAAUGGUUUUGUAGAGGGUUUGGGACUUUGAUGCAACCGUAGGACUGAAAAUAUAGCGGAUGAAACUCUCGAUAUG
This 388-nucleotide long non-coding RNA is filed under the name Nicotiana benthamiana. RNAcentral describes it as "long non-coding RNA (NBEN_LNC014417)". The record is from RNAcentral. Lineage: Eukaryota; Viridiplantae; Streptophyta; Magnoliopsida; Solanales; Solanaceae.